AAAGGGCAGAAUUGGUACAUCAAAUUCAUUGGGCCUGACAAAUACUUUUAUUCUGGUCCAAAAAUAUGCCCAGACAUGGUGGGGUUAAAAGGCUGCAACACAAUGAGAUUUAUCUCAACCACAAGAGCAUAGCAUCUGGGCUGUCUAAGUAAAUAACAGUCAAGUUACUUGAAUAUCAGAGCGUCACGUCCAGGCCCAACACCAAUGUAAUGGACGGGUACACCAAUGAGUUCUUCUAUCCUCUCCACAUAUUGACGUGCAGCCUUCGGAAGCUCUGAGUAGUUUCUAAUGGAAGAAAUAUCACUCUUCCAUCCAGGUAAAACCUCAUAUUCAACCUUCAAUUGUUCAAGCAGACGAAGAUCAGCUGGGAAUGAUUUAAUAGGAGUACCAUCCAUUUGUUUAUAAGCAACUCCCAACUGAAUUUCAGGAAGAUCAGAUAAAACAUCAAGUUUGGUGAGAUUCAAAGAAGAAAAGCCAUUAAUCUGACAGCAGUACUUCAGUGCAACUAUAUCAAGCCAACCACAACGUCGAGGACGGCCCGUUGUGGUUCCAAACUCCUGCCCAGCAAACCUAAGUAGGUCACCCCCAUG
Molecule: unclassified non-coding RNA, 590 nt
Filed under: Hevea brasiliensis (rubber tree)
Lineage: Eukaryota; Viridiplantae; Streptophyta; Magnoliopsida; Malpighiales; Euphorbiaceae
Source: RNAcentral